This 253-nucleotide ribosomal RNA is filed under the name uncultured bacterium. Its description in RNAcentral is "partial 16S ribosomal RNA". It matches the Rfam family "Bacterial small subunit ribosomal RNA", at positions 524 to 776 of the family's 1533-position model. The record is from RNAcentral.
UACGUAGGGCGCAAGCGUUAUCCGGAAUUAUUGGGCGUAAAGAGCUCGUAGGCGGUUUGUCGCGUCUGCCGUGAAAGUCCGGGGCUCAACUCCGGAUCUGCCGUGCCGACUGUCAAACUCGAGGACUGUAGAGGCAGACGGAAUUCCAGGUGUAGCGGUGAAAUGCGUAGAUAUCUGGAGGAACACCGGUGGCGAAGGCGGCAUCCUGGACCGGCAUUGACGCUGAGGCGCGAAAGCCAGGGGAGCAAACGGG